This 484-nucleotide ribosomal RNA is filed under the name uncultured bacterium. RNAcentral's name for it is "partial 16S ribosomal RNA". It matches the Rfam family "Bacterial small subunit ribosomal RNA", at positions 29 to 507 of the family's 1533-position model. The record is from RNAcentral.
AUUGAACGCUGGCGGCAUGCUUUACACAUGCAAGUCGAACGGCAGCGCGGGCUUCGGCCUGCCGGCAAGUGGCGAACGGGUGAGUAAUCCACCGGAACGUGCCCAGUAGUGGGGGAUAGCACGGCGAAGGCCGGAUUAAUCCCGCAUAGGACCGGAGGGUAAAAGGGGGGGUUCUUCGGACCUCGGCCUUUUGGACGGGCCGAUGGCAGAUUAGCUAGUUGGUGGGGUAAAGGCCUACCAAGGCGACGAUCUGUAGCUGGUCUGAGAGGACGACCAGCCACACUGGGACUGAGACACGGCCCAGACUCCUACGGGAGGCAGCAGUGGGGAAUUUUGGACAAUGGGCGAAAGCCUGAUCCAGCAAUGCCGCGUGUGUGAUGAAGGCCUUCGGGUUGUAAAGCACUUUUGGCGGGAACGAAAAGGACUGUGCCAAUACCACGGUUCGAUGACGGUACCCGCAGAAUAAGCACCGGCUAACUACGUG